This 261-nucleotide ribosomal RNA is filed under the name Staphylococcus aureus. RNAcentral describes it as "partial 16S ribosomal RNA". It matches the Rfam family "Bacterial small subunit ribosomal RNA", at positions 642 to 901 of the family's 1533-position model. The record is from RNAcentral. Lineage: Bacteria; Bacillati; Bacillota; Bacilli; Caryophanales; Staphylococcaceae.
UUGAGUGCAGAAGAGGAAAGUGGAAUUCCAUGUGUAGCGGUGAAAUGCGCAGAGAUAUGGAGGAACACCAGUGGCGAAGGCGACUUUCUGGUCUGUAACUGACGCUGAUGUGCGAAAGCGUGGGGAUCAAACAGGAUUAGAUACCCUGGUAGUCCACGCCGUAAACGAUGAGUGCUAAGUGUUAGGGGGUUUCCGCCCCUUAGUGCUGCAGCUAACGCAUUAAGCACUCCGCCUGGGGAGUACGACCGCAAGGUUGAAACU